AGACGUCUACAUUAGAUACCCGGGUAGUCCAGGGUGUAAACGCUGCGGGCUUGGUGUGGGUCCUUUGAGGGCGCCCAGUGCCGGAGAGAAGUUGUUAAGCCUGCUGCUUGGGGAGUACGUCCGCAAGGAUGAAACUUAAAGGAAUUGGCGGGGGAGCACCGCAACGGGAGGAGCGUGCGGUUCAAUUGGAUUCAACGCCGGACAACUCACCAGGAGCGACGGUUACAUGAAGGCCAGGCUGAUGACCUUGCCUGAUUUUCCG
RNAcentral lists this ribosomal RNA (262 nucleotides) under uncultured archaeon. Its description in RNAcentral is "partial 16S ribosomal RNA". It matches the Rfam family "Archaeal small subunit ribosomal RNA", at positions 717 to 982 of the family's 1478-position model. The record is from RNAcentral.